Molecule: non-coding RNA, 58 nt
Organism: Salmo salar (Atlantic salmon)
Lineage: Eukaryota; Metazoa; Chordata; Actinopteri; Salmoniformes; Salmonidae
Source: Rfam
UGGCUCAGUUGGUAGAGCAUGGUGUUUGCAACGCUAGUGUUGUGGGUUCGAUUCCCAU